Non-coding RNA from Podarcis lilfordi (Lilford's wall lizard), 550 nucleotides. The record is from the annotation of a GenBank genome assembly. NCBI's taxonomy places the organism in Eukaryota, Metazoa, Chordata, Lepidosauria, Squamata, Lacertidae.
UGAAGAGUUUGUUAUGAAAACGGAGCAGGGGAUUAAGUUAAAGGCGUAUGAAGAAAUAAAGAACCUACUGACAGGGUGGUUACAACACCACCAAGUUAAUGAGAUACUAAAAGAGGAUAAAAAAAGAUUGGGAUUUGAGGAAAAGAAAUCAAAAUUUCAAAUCGAUAUUAUAGAAGGUAACAACAAACUUUUGUCCAAAAUGUAUGACUUAUUACUGGACUGGUUUACUAAAGAUGAGGAGGUAAAAGAAGCCAUGAUUAAGUGGGCCAUGGAUUUUGGAUAUAAUAUAGAAUUAGAAGCGUGGCGUGAAUUAUGGAAUGUCAAUAUGAAAUUUACGAAGUGUACGGCUUUACAGGAAAAUAUGUGGAAAAUGAUAUAUAGGUGGUACCUCACGCAGGUAAAAUUGGCAAAGAUGUAUAAAAUAAAAAAUAGGAAGUGUUGGAAGUGUGGUGAGGCAGAAGGAGAUUUAGAUCAUAUGUGGUGGGUUUGUGGGAAAGUGAAGGGUUUUUGGGAAUCAAUAUAUAAUGAGCUUAAAAAAAUCUUUAAGUAC